Molecule: long non-coding RNA, 150 nt
Organism: Thalassophryne amazonica
Lineage: Eukaryota; Metazoa; Chordata; Actinopteri; Batrachoidiformes; Batrachoididae
Exons: 3
Source: RefSeq, a predicted model, not a curated record
AAAUUACUGUAAACCCUAAAGUCAUACAUGCCCAUUCCUGUUGGAGUUUAUAGACUAAUAAGCAAAACUGACACAUUACAUUAAGGUAACAAGUAUACAGUGUGAAAGGAGUGCAUUUAUAGUACUUUCUAAUUAAAUUACUGUAUAUUG